UACGUAGGGGCGAGCGUUGUCCGGAAUGAUUGGGCGUAGAGGGCGCGUAGGCGGCUUGUUAAGUCUGGAGUGGAAGUCCUCUUUUUAAGGGAGGAAUUGCUUUGGAAACUGGCGAGCUUGAGUGCAGGAGAGGUUAUCGGAAUUCCCGGUGUAGCGGUGAAAUGCGUAGAGAUCGGGAGGAACACCAGUGGCGAAGGCGGGUAACUGGACUGCAACUGACGCUGAGGCGCGAAAGUGUGGGGAGCAAACAGGAUUAGAUACCCCGGUAGUCCCUGAGCGGG
This 281-nucleotide ribosomal RNA is filed under the name uncultured prokaryote. RNAcentral describes it as "partial 16S ribosomal RNA". It matches the Rfam family "Bacterial small subunit ribosomal RNA", at positions 524 to 803 of the family's 1533-position model. The record is from RNAcentral.